This is a non-coding RNA of Thunnus maccoyii (southern bluefin tuna), 1145 nucleotides long. The record is from the annotation of a RefSeq genome assembly. Lineage: Eukaryota; Metazoa; Chordata; Actinopteri; Scombriformes; Scombridae.
CACUCCCAUUGAAACAAAUGUUGUAAAUCCUCAAAUUUGUUUCCAAAAGAAGUUAUUUUAUUCCAUUAAGAUCAUAGAUGGUGUAAAUCCAAACAGUAUUUCUCCUGAUUGUGUGUCCCACGUUGCCUUCAGUCUGUUGUGAGCAGAGAAAUCAUUUCCAUAGAGAGGAGGCUUUGCAUCGUCAGCUGAUCCUCCAGUGAACUGAGAAGGUUUAUAGUCCUGUGAGUUCAACACUGCAGGACUCAGAUCUGUCAGUCAACACAGCAGAAAGCACAACCACCAUGACUCUCAUCACCAUCCUCAUCUGGACGCUGGCCUUCUGCUGUUUUACAGGAUGCAGCGGUCAGGUGACUGUGACUCAACCUCCAGUAGUGACAUCUACUCCAGGAUCCACUGUCAUUCUCACCUGUAAAACCAGCCAGGCUGUUGCUAGAUAUAGUAGUGGAGAUGCUAUGUACUGGUAUCAACAGAAAUCUGGACAGACUCCAAAACUCCUAAUAAAAUUUGCAAGCACACGUGAAUCAGGAAUACCAGCUCGGUUUAGUGGCAGUGGAAGCAGGUCUGACUUCUCUUUGACCAUCAGUGGAGUUCAGACUGAAGAUGCAGCAGUUUACUACUGUCAGAGUUACCACAGUGGUACAGUGUUCACACAGUGAUUUGUAGUCGUACAAAAACCUCCCUCAGUCAGACUGCAGAGACACUGAGCUGUUACAGCAGGAACCGACUGCAGCUGCUGAAGAGGAAGAGACUCUGACACAGACCACUGAACACAGAGCUGACAGUAACCUCACCAAGCACAAACUGUACCAAUCACAAACAACAUGUACACAUGAAUAUAUUGGCAUAUUUUAUAUUUUUAAAUAUCUUCCUUUUAUUCCAUGUCAAAAAGUGUGAAACUGACAUUGAAACUAACCAUCAUGAUGUUCAUUUUCCACAUACAGUGAUAUCAGAAGUUGUGAAAAAAAAAAAAAAAAAACGGAACAUUUUCCACAAUCUAGAAACUUAGACACACAUCCACAUGUUGUUUGUCACUCAGAUAUUUGCUGAUUCACUGUCUUGUUGACUGAUACAAACUCUCAUAUCUGUCAGUUAAAGACAAAGCAAGAGCCAGUAGCCAGUUAGCUUAGCUUAGCAUAACAACUGGA